RNAcentral lists this long non-coding RNA (331 nucleotides) under Carica papaya (papaya). Its description in RNAcentral is "long non-coding RNA (CPAP_LNC003281)". The record is from RNAcentral. Lineage: Eukaryota; Viridiplantae; Streptophyta; Magnoliopsida; Brassicales; Caricaceae.
CUCAAACUUGUCAUUCUUCUUUGUGAAUCGGGUUAGGGGAGUCGCUAGGCUAGAAAAUCAUUCAACGAACCUGCAAUAAUAGCCCGCCAUUUCCAGAAAGUUGUGGAUAUCUUUAACUGAUGCAAUUUCUCUCAGCCGAGCACCGCGUCAACCUUUUCAGACUGACACUUCAUCCUUUGCAUACAGAUUCUUUCUUCUGAGAACAUGCAAAACCUUGGUUAGAUGGUGUGCAUGUUCUUCUCUGCUUUUUAGUAGACCAAGAUGUCAUCGAUGAACACGAUAAUAAAUUGAUCUAAGAAUUCUCUAAAGUCCCUGUUCAUCAGAUCCAUGA